UAGAAAAGAAAAUAAAGAGUAGUAGAAAGAAAACUGACUUAUGGCGGCGUCAAUGAACAAGUGUAGGUAUUUGUUUCUCAUAUGUGGAAUUUUUUUUAUUGUUACAUGCAUGAGCACUCAAUAUAUAUAUAUAUAUAUAUAUAUAUAUAUAUAUAUAUGUCCUCAGCGGUGGAUCGGGCCCAUGUCCCCUGGAAGGCGGUGCCAGAGAGGGUUAGAGCCCCGUUGUACCCGGACCCUGUCGCACCACGAGGUGAGUCUCUAGUCGGGUUGUUUGGGAAUGCAGCCCAAAUCAGGUGGUGAAUUUCGUCUAAGGCUAAAUACGGGUGAGAGAACAAUAGCGAACAAGUACCGCGAGGGAAAGAUGAAAAAGACUUUGAAAAGAGAGUUAAAGAGUGCUUGAAAUUGUCCGGAGGGAAGCGAAUGGGGGUCAGCAAUGUGCCCUGGUCUGAUAUGGAACUGUGACUAGCCGGUUUGCCAAUUGACUCGUGGCGUGGACCAGCGUGGAUUAGGGGGUGGCUAAAGUUUGGGCUCUUGAUGCUCCCGUGAAACAUCGUCUCCUUGAUUGUGGUAGGCAGUGCGUGCCUCUGGCAUGUUUAGGCAUCUGCACGCUCUGGAUGCUGGCCUGUGGGCUCCCCAUUCCGCUCGUUUUGAAACAUGAAUCAAGGAUUCUGACAUGUAUGCGAGUCAAUGGGCGAGUAAACCCGUAAGGCAAAAAGAAAUUGAUUGGUGGGAUCCCCCUCAUGGGUGCACCGCCGACCGACCUUGAUCUUCUGAGAAGGUUUCAAGUGUGAGCAUACCUGUCAGGACCCAAAAAGAUAGUGAACUAUGCCUAAGCUUUUUAAAACUAGAGGAAUCUCUGGUGGAGGCCCGCAACGAUACUGACAUGCAAAUCGUUCGUCUGACUUGGGUAAAAGACUAAUCGAACCGUUUAGUAGUUGGUUCCCUUCGAAAUUUCCCUAAGGACAGGCCGAUAUCACGUGCAAGUUCUAUUGGGUAAAGCCAAUGAUUAGAGGCCUCUGGGCCCAACGUCCUUGACCUACUCUCAAACUUUAAAUAGGUAGGACGGUGCGACUGCUUUGUUGAGCCAUGCCACAGAAUCAAAAGCUCCAAGUGGGCCAUUUUUGGUAACCAGAACUGGUGAUGUGGUAUGAAUCGGAAGCCGGGUUACAGUGCCAAACUGUGCGUUAACCUAAAUCCGCUAAGGAGUGUGUAACAACUGACCUGCCAAAUCAACUUGUCUCAAAAAUAGAUGGCGCUUAACCGUGCGAACUACACCCGACCGUUGGGGAAAGUGCUAGGCCCCAAUGAUUUGGAGGGUGCGGCGGUCGCUGCAAAACCUUGGGCAUGAUCCUUAGCUGAGCAGCCGUCUGUGCAGAUCUUGGUGGCAGUAGAAAAUAUUCAAAUGAGAACUUUGAAGGAUGAAGAGGGGAAAGGUUCCAUGUGAAUGACACUUACACAUGGGUUAGUUGAUCCUAAGGGUCAGGGGAACCCUGCCAGAUAGCGUGUUUCGCGCGUACUUAGAAAGGGAGCCAGGUUAAAAUUCCUGAAUCGGGACGUGGCGGUUGACGACAACGUUAGAAGGUACAGAGAUAUUGGUUGUAGCCUCGGGAAGAGUUGUCUUUUUUGUGUAAUAGACUACCCACCCUGGAAUAGGCUCAGCCAGAGGUAGGGUCUAGCGGCUGUAAGAGCACUGCAUAUCGCGUGGUGUUUGAUGCACUCCCGGCAGCCCCUGAAAAUCCGGAGGACCGAAUUUUGUCCAAGCCCAGUCGUACUCAAAACCGCAUCAGGUCUCCAAGGUUAACAGACUCUGGUUGAUGGAACAAUGUAGGCAAGGAAAGUCGGCAAAAUUGAUUUGUAACGUUGGGAAAAGGAUUGGCUUUGAGGGAUGGCAAUGGGGGUCCCAGUCUCGAACCCAUCGGCUGUUGAUAGACUGCUCGAGCUGCUCUCGCGGUGGGAGAGGGUCACCACGUUCCGGUUGAGGGAUGGACUAGGAACGGUUCCUUUGGGGGGCUUCCCUAAGCGUAGAACAGCCAACUCAGAACUGGUACAAAAAAGGGGAAUCCGAUUUAUUAAUUAAAACAAAUCAUUGCGAUAGUCGCAACAGAUGUUUAUGCAAUGUCAUUUUGGCGCAGUGCUCUGAAGGACAAAGUGUAGAAAUUCACCAAGCGCGGGUAAACAACGGGAGUAAAUAUGACUCUCUUAAGGUAGCCAAAUGUCUCGUCAUAUAAUUAGUGAUGCACAUGCAUGGAUUAACAAGAUUCCCGUUAUCGCUGUCUACUAUCCAUGAAAACCACAUACAAGGGAACGGGCUUGCCAAAAUCAGCAGGGAAAGAAGACCUUGUUGAGCUUUACUCUAGUCCAACUUUGUGAAAAUACUUGAGAGGUGUAGUAUAAGUGGGAAUUGAAAGGCGAAAGUGAAAUACCGCUACUUUUAACGUUAUUUCACUUAUUCCGUGAAUCGGAAGUUGGGCACUGUCCCUCUUUUUGGACCCACGGCUCGCUUCGCAGGCCAAUCUGGGCGGAAGACAUUGUCAGGUGGGGAGUUUGGCUGGGGCAGCACAUCUGUUAAAAGAUAACGCACAUGUCCUAAGAUGUGCUCAACGAGAACAUAAAUCUCGUGUGAAACAGAAGGGCAAAAGCUCAUUUGAUCCUGAUUUCCAGUACGAAUACGAACCGUGAAAGCGUGGCCUAAUGAUUCUUCAGACCUUCGGAAUUCAAAGCUAGAGGUGUCAGAAAAGUUACUACAGGGAUAACUGGCUUGUGGCAGCCAAUCGUUCAUAGGGACGUUGCUUUAUGAUCCUUCGAUGUCGGCACUUCCUAUCAUUGUGAAGAAGAAUUCACCAAGUGUUGGAUUGUUCACCCACCAAUAGGGAACAUGAGCUGAGUUUAGACCGUCAUAAGACAAGUUACCACAGGGAUAACUAGCUUGUGGCAGCCAAGCAUUCAUAGCGACGUUUCUUUUUUA
RNAcentral lists this ribosomal RNA (2965 nucleotides) under Solanum tuberosum (potato). Its description in RNAcentral is "eukaryotic LSU rRNA". It matches the Rfam family "Eukaryotic large subunit ribosomal RNA". The record is from RNAcentral. Lineage: Eukaryota; Viridiplantae; Streptophyta; Magnoliopsida; Solanales; Solanaceae.